UUAAGUGACGAUAGCCUAGGAGAUACACCUGUACCCAUGCCGAACACAGAAGUUAAGCCCUAGAACGCCGCAAUAAUUUUUUAUCUUAGUCAGUAGGACGGUAUCAAUUUCA
Molecule: ribosomal RNA, 112 nt
Filed under: Streptococcus pneumoniae
Lineage: Bacteria; Bacillati; Bacillota; Bacilli; Lactobacillales; Streptococcaceae
Source: RNAcentral